ACGGGUGAGUAACACGUGGGGAUCUGCCCUGAAGACUGGGACAACCCGAGGAAACUCGGGCUAAUACCGGAUGAUACUCUGAGGAGGAAAGGCUAGGUCGUAAGAUCUGGCGCUUUAGGAGGAACCUGCGUCCGAUUAGCUAGUUGGUUAGGUAAAGGCUGACCAAGGCGAUGAUCGGUAGCUGGUCUGAGAGGAUGAUCAGCCACACUGGGACUGAGACACGGCCCAGACUCCUACGGGAGGCAGCAGUGGGGAAUAUUGGACAAUGGGGGCAACCCUGAUCCAGCAAUGCCGCGUGUGUGAAGAAGGCCUUCGGGUUGUAAAGCACUUUAGUUGGGGAAGAAGGUUUAUUGUUUAAGAGAUGGUAAAUUUGACGGUACCCAAAGAAUAAGCACCGGCUAACUCUGUGCCAGCAGCCGCGGUAAUACAGAGGGUGCGAGCGUUAAUCGGAAUUACUGGGCGUAAAGGGCGCGUAGGCGGUUGUGUAAGUGAAUUGUGAAAUACCUGGGCUUAACCUGGGACUUGCAAUUUAUACUGCACAGCUGGAGUACUGUAGAGGGUAGUGGAAUUUCCGG
RNAcentral lists this ribosomal RNA (575 nucleotides) under uncultured bacterium. RNAcentral's name for it is "bacterial SSU rRNA". It matches the Rfam family "Bacterial small subunit ribosomal RNA", at positions 102 to 673 of the family's 1533-position model. The record is from RNAcentral.